This 456-nucleotide ribosomal RNA is filed under the name Sertularella gayi. RNAcentral describes it as "partial 16S ribosomal RNA". It matches the Rfam family "Bacterial large subunit ribosomal RNA", at positions 1919 to 2542 of the family's 2925-position model. The record is from RNAcentral. Lineage: Eukaryota; Metazoa; Cnidaria; Hydrozoa; Leptothecata; Sertulariidae.
AAAAUUAAAAGGACGCGGUAACCUUGACCGUGAUAAUGUAGCAUAAUCAUUCGCCAUUUAAUUGAUGGAUAGUAUGAAUGGUUGAACGAAUAUUCCACUGUCUUAAAAAGAAAUUAACAAAAAUUAGAAUAAUAGUAAAGAUACUAUUUAAAAUUGUAAGACGAAAAGACCCUAUAGAGCUUAACUAUAAUCUUUCUCUUUAAUAUUAACAGAAAGAUUGGUAGUUUAGUUGGGGCGACUGUCUUUUAAAAUUAACAAAGACAAGCAAAAAUUAAUAUUAAAAUUUAUUGUAUAAUCCAUAAAUUUAACAAUUACAAAAGUAGGCUAUAAUGACCCGUUAUUAUUUCAUAAAAAAAUAACGAUCAAUAAAUAAAAGCUACCUUAGGGAUAACAGGAUAAUUUUAUUCUAGAGAUCUAAUCGAAAAUAAAGUUUGUCACCUCUAUGUUGAAUUAAGA